GUUUGGAUGUGUGUUUUCAAAGAGUAAAAACCUUUGAAGCACUCUAUUAUAAUUAGUUAUUAUUCGGGUUUCUAUUUCAGGUCACAUCUAAGAAAGAGGAUGCAAUGAGGUUGGCUCAGAUGUAGAAUAACUGAUGUUAAACUUCUUUGUUUGGAGAAAUUAUGCGAAAUGAUUAGGAUUGUAAAUAGGGGAUACCGUGUUGGUGGCAGUAGAUUGAUAUGUUGCCUUGGUGAUGAUAAAGAUGAAAAGUGUUGAGUGUUUACUGAAUCUCCUGAGACUUUGCUCAAUGUUUAUGGUUUGCCAAGAAUAGAAACCUUAGAAGUCUAUGUGUGGAGAUAGGUAUGCCUAUGCUUAAGCCAAUCAUUGUUUUUGAAGUCAGGGACCCAUAAGAGAUCCCAUAGGGUGCAGUUGGAGCUGAGUUUGUAACAGUUUCAGGUGAUUAAUGGUAGAUUUGGCAUUGUUGGAGCUACCGAGGUAUUGUGGGAGGUCGAAAGAGCUCGGGAAGUCUUAAAAAUCAAGGGUUUUGCAAGUGUUUUGAAAAGAAAAGGUAGAUAAUUGGUACGGACCCCUUCCAUCGGACCUUCAUGUGGAUGAUUUUGUCCAAUUAUAAACUAUGUAUGAUUCUAACAAAACAAUUGGAAAAGUUUGUAAAU
Long non-coding RNA from Helianthus annuus (common sunflower), 653 nucleotides. RefSeq lists it as uncharacterized. NCBI's taxonomy places the organism in Eukaryota, Viridiplantae, Streptophyta, Magnoliopsida, Asterales, Asteraceae. The record is from RefSeq and is a predicted model, not a curated record. The transcript has 3 exons.